UUUACUUACUUAAUUAGUGAUUAAGUAACCAAUUAGGUACCAUUAUGUAUCACUUCAUGUUACAUAGGAUAUGUGGGUGUGUUGAAGUCCUCACUCAACACCUAGCAUCCUACCUGGCACUUCCAUCCAUUCUACUCACUACAGGUGAGUUCAUACCCCUACACCUUUUACCGAGUUUUCACGUUUUCAGGGGAAAUACAAGCAAAAGUACAAGGGAACUUGUACUCAAAAUCUAUUAUUUCGUAUGAAAUAGUUACAUGUUCAGUACGCUUUUAACACAGAAAACUGUUUUACCAACCGAUUAAUAAAUCAACUUGCAAAGUUAGUUUUCAAAACUAAAGCAAGGAAACUCGAGAAUCUCAUCAUAAAAUCUUAUAUUUUAUAUUUUAUAAAGGAUUCAUGCCAACCAUAAAACAGGAAUUUCUGUAUUAUUACUUGUAAAUUCAUUAUUCUUAAGAUUGGAGACAUGUCCUUGGUAACAAUCCACCGGAAUACGCGAGUGUAGGACUAACCCUGUAACCAAAAUCUCUUGGAGGGAGAACGUGACUAUUGUGUAUAGAUCUAUACGGGACUGACUACCCCACACCUUGCUGCUAGCUACAGUGGGACCGACAGGUCUACGGGUGACAAAGUCAUAAGAGAUACUGGCCCCUGUUACGCGCCAUAUCCAGUUUAUUGUAUGCUUAUAGAACUCGCAACUUAGAUAAUGGAGAUUUACUUUUGGUAAUAAUGAACCUAGUGAACUAAUGUCAAAGUGACAAUUGUUUUGAUUACUAUAGGGUAUCAGUAAUACCCUUAGGAAUUAGUUCACUACUUACUUAUUAGUUUUAUAUGUGUAUUAAAGCUAAUGCAUCUCAUUGAGUGUAAUUGAGUUUUUCAUGAAAACUAUACCUAACGAUACAAGUAUGGUAGAUACUUGUACACUUCAUUUCAGGAUCGAUAAUUAACUAUUAACUUUUAAGGAAAAUAUAGGUUUUUCCUGGGAUAACUUAACCUUUCAUAAAUAGGUUGUUUAACAAAUGGAUAACCAAACUUCUUAUAUAAGAAAAUAUGGGAUUUUCUUGGCAAACAACUUUUCAUAAAAUCAAAGGAACAUUUUCAUUCACCAGAAUCAACCGCUUAUGAACUCACCAGCUUUAUGCUGAUAUUUCUAAAACUGCUUGUAUUGUCGGGUCAACCAUAGACAAGUAUUUAUGCCAACGUUUGGAGAAGAUGGAGCAUUUUUGGAAGUCACAUCUUUUACUUUUAUUAUAUACUGAUAUGUAUAAACCAAGUUUUGAACAAUGUAAAUAUUCAUAUUAAUGUAAUGGUUGUGUUUACUAUGCUUGAUAUACAACUGUUGUGAUACUACGCAUUACGUCCUCCGCCCCGGAACGUUUCCGUCGCUGGUUUCGGGGUGUGACAGAUUGGUAUCAGAGCUAUUAUUUAUAGUGAACUAAGUAUACCAAACCUUACAUGGUAUAAAACUAUAAACACUAAGGGGCCGAAUUGCUUUGAACUAAAAGUAUACUUUAAAAAUAUAAGUAUUUUUACUCCAAGUAUACAAGUAUACCUACAUACCAGAAUCUGUAUCAUGAAAAGAACCAAACAAAAGUAUUUGGAUUUUGAACACUGUGGUUAAACCCGGGUAGUUAUGUAAUCAUGUCUAGGGUUAAUAUAGCCUGAUCAACUAUAUUCAUUCGAGACAUGACCAACAUGUGAUUGGGAGUGACUGUAGGGUUGCAACAGGCCUAAAACUUACCAAAAUCUUCCUACCAAAAGUUAUCGAUAGAAAAAAACCUUCAACAUAAAAUACUAUAGGAGUAUGUUAGUCAGAGUUGAAUACGUUGUAGAAAUUCAUUCCAAGUGUUGCUACUCAUUCUUUCCUUAGCGAUAGUUUACUUGCUUUAGUAACUCUUUCCUGUUCUAUCGCUUAGUAGAACAUUUUAUCUAUCAUAUAGAGAUACAUCUUGUUUCGUAUCUUCUAAUUCAAUUCAGUGGACUUACCAUCCUCUCCUUCCAGAUCAGUUUAGAACGAGAUGCCUCCAAAGAAAAGACCCAGCUCAAAGAACAACAAUCCUCUACCUCCACCUUCUCAGUUUGAUCCCACUAUGUUCCAGGCAGCUAUUACUGUCGUGGUGGCUACCGCAAUGUCACAAAUGAACCCUGGUGGUUCUGGCGGGCCAGGAGUUGGUACCCAAACCCAAAAUCAGGAAAGUGGUCAAGGACACCAGGAGGAGUGCUCCUAUAAGGACUUCAUGAAUGCAAAACCCACAUCCUUCGAUGGCAUUGGAGGUGAUAUUGCCCUGACACGAUGGUUCGAAAAGAUCGAGUCCAUUUUCGAAAUUUGUUCCUAUUCUGAAGUCAACAAAGUAAAGUUUCCCGCUUGCACCUUCGCCAACAGGGCACUAACCUAGUGGAAUGGUCGGGUCAAAUCCCUAACCCUACCAGUGGCAAAUGCUAUGGGUUGGGAGAGCUUGAAAGAGCUCAUGCUUGCUGAGUACUGCCUCGGGGCGAAAUGCAGAAACUAGAGCACGAACUUUGGAACCUAAAGAUGAAGGGUUAUGAUGUUGUUGCCUACACAACUAGGUUUGAAGACCUAGCGCUCCUCUGCCCGGGGAUGGUCACCCCGGAAAGCAAAAAGAUUGAAAGAUAUAUUUGGGGGCUGACCCAGCCAACCAAAGGAAAUGUCUUGGCUGCUAGGCCAAACACCUUCGACAACGCUAAGUGCCUAGCACAGACUCUGAUCGAUCAUAGAGUCGAUCUCGAUGAAGUGACCACCACUCCUGAACCGGCUAAAAGGAGUGGUGAGAAAAACAAAUUGGAAACAGAAGAAGGGUCAGUCUUCGCAGGAGCCCUCAAAGAAACGAAAAAUCACGCGGAAAACCCCGUUUGCGGUUAGCAUUUGGUGGACCCCCACCCUGGCCGUAAACUCAACCCUAUAUAAGGGUUGAGUGGUCUUCAUUCCCACCUUUUUCACACACUAGAAACUUUCUCUCUCGACUCUCACUAUACAAUUUCGGGUUUUGAUCAUGAAACACUCUUUCAAGCUUCACAUAAGUAAGUAAACCCCUCCUAGCUAGUUGUUUGCUUAGCAUACUUGCAAAUCUAUGGAUUAAACACCUAAAAACCCCAAGAACAUUGGGUUUACGGUUUGGGAACCUCCCAAAACCGUAAACACCCCAAAAAGGGGUUUUGAUGCCCCAAACUCCUUCCAAUGCUUGACUAAUGAACUAGGAACUUACAUGAAUGAUCUAAGAGCCCCAAAACACGAAAUGAAAGGAGUAAACAUGAGUUUAUGGUUUGGGAACCUCCCAAAACCUAAAACACUUUCUAAGGGUGUUAAAAUGCCCUUAACGCCUUCUAUGGCUUGUAUAAGUGGAUAGAACUUUGUAUGCUUAACCUAGAUGCACCAAAACACACAAGGAAGGGACAAACAUGAGUUCACGGCCGUAAAAUCAUGUGGUUAUGGUAGUAAACUCCCCAAGGAGGGAUUCAAAAACUAUAAACUCCUCAACGGGGUCCAUUUCAAGCCCCAAUCACUUCCAUAGCCCUUGAUUUGAGUCUAGCAUAAUUCUUUGAGUAGCUUAAGACCUUUGAGCACCAAUGACACCAUUGCCAUGAGUUUACAGUCGUAAACUCAUGGGGGUGAUGGUCUUGGAACCGUAAACACCCUUAAGGGCUACUAUUUGAAGAGUAAACUCCAAAGUGAGGCCAUACUCCCCUUAGAUGCAACUCCUAACACUCCAAGCUCUAGAAUCAAAGUGUUUUCAUGCGUUAAACUGCCUUUACUUACUUAAUUAGUGAUUAAGUAACCAAUUAGGUACCAUUAUGUAUCACUUCGUGUUACAUAGGAUCUGUGGGUGUGUUGAAGUCCUCACUCAACACCUCGCAUCCUACCCGGCACUUCCAUCCAUUCUACUCACUACAGGUGAGUUCAUACCCCUACACCUUUUACCGAGUUUUCACGUUUUCAGGGGGAAUACAAGCAAAAGUACAAGGGAACUUGUACUCAAAAUCUAUUAUUUCGUAUGAAAUAGUUACAUGUUCAGUAUGCUUUUAACACAGAAAACUGUUUUACCAACCGAUUAAUAAAUCAACUUGCAAAGUUAGUUUUCAAAACUAAAGCAAGGAAACUCGAGAAUCUCAUCAUAAAA
Molecule: long non-coding RNA, 4136 nt
Filed under: Lactuca sativa (garden lettuce)
Lineage: Eukaryota; Viridiplantae; Streptophyta; Magnoliopsida; Asterales; Asteraceae
Description: long non-coding RNA (LSAT_LNC008166)
Source: RNAcentral